Molecule: long non-coding RNA, 258 nt
Filed under: Gossypium barbadense (sea-island cotton)
Lineage: Eukaryota; Viridiplantae; Streptophyta; Magnoliopsida; Malvales; Malvaceae
Description: long non-coding RNA (GBAR_LNC018537)
Source: RNAcentral
AGUAAAACACUUUCAUGAUAAGGAAGACAGAGAGAAAUAAAGGAGCGAUUCAUUUAUGAGAUCUAAAAACUAUUACAUUGGUAUGAAAGAAAAAGAUAAAAAAACAAAUUAAAAAGGAUAUUUCAAUUCCCUUCCCUGGAUUGAUGAUCAGUAUGUUCGACGGGGACCUCCUCUAUUAGUUCCACAUCCUUUGGAGCCUUCUCUAAGUCAAUUGAAUCUACUAAAAUUUUUUUAUCAUUCUCUGCUUCUGGUGUACUG